RNAcentral lists this ribosomal RNA (248 nucleotides) under uncultured bacterium. RNAcentral describes it as "partial 16S ribosomal RNA". It matches the Rfam family "Bacterial small subunit ribosomal RNA", at positions 524 to 776 of the family's 1533-position model. The record is from RNAcentral.
GACGUAGGGCGCGAGCGUUGUCCGGAUUUAUUGGGCGUAAAGAGCUCGUAGGCGGCUUGUUGCGUCAGCUGUGAAAACCCGCAGCUCAACUGUGGGCUUGCAGCUGAUACGGGCAGGCUUGAGUUGGUAGGGGAGACUGGAAUUCCUGGUGUAGCGGUGAAAUGCGCAGAUAUCAGGAGGAACACCGGUGGCGAAGGCGGCCCUGCAUGGCGACGCUGACUGAGACGAAAGCGUGGGGAGCAAACAGG